UAGGGAAUCUUCCGCAAUGGACGCAAGUCUGACGGAGCAACGCCGCGUGAGUGAAGAAGGAUUUCGGUUCGUAAAACUCUGUUGUUAGAGAAGAACAGCGCAUAGAGUAACUGUUAUGCGUGUGACGGUAUCUAACCAGAAAGCCACGGCUAACUACGUGCCAGCAGCCGCGGUAAUACGUAGGUGGCAAGCGUUGUCCGGAUUUAUUGGGCGUAAAGGGUACGCAGGCGGUUUAAUAAGUCGAAUGUUAAAGAUCGGGGCUCAACCCCGUAAAGCAUUGGAAACUGAUAAACUUGAGUAGUGGAGAGGAAAGUGGAAUUCCUAGUGUAGUGGUGAAAUACGUAGAUAUUAGGAGGAAUACCAGUAGCGAAGGCGACUUUCUGGACACAAACUGACGCUGAGGUACGAAAGCGUGGGGAGCAAACAGG
RNAcentral lists this ribosomal RNA (428 nucleotides) under Bacteroidota bacterium. RNAcentral's name for it is "Bacteroidetes bacterium partial 16S ribosomal RNA". It matches the Rfam family "Bacterial small subunit ribosomal RNA", at positions 355 to 776 of the family's 1533-position model. The record is from RNAcentral. Lineage: Bacteria; Pseudomonadati; Bacteroidota.